RNAcentral lists this ribosomal RNA (1349 nucleotides) under uncultured bacterium. RNAcentral's name for it is "bacterial SSU rRNA". It matches the Rfam family "Bacterial small subunit ribosomal RNA", at positions 28 to 1379 of the family's 1533-position model. The record is from RNAcentral.
GACGAACGCUGGCGGCGUGCUUAACACAUGCAAGUCGAACGGAAAGGCCCUGCUUUUGUGGGGUGCUCGAGUGGCGAACGGGUGAGUAACACGUGAGUAACCUGCCCUUGACUUUGGGAUAACUUCAGGAAACUGGGGCUAAUACCGGAUAGGAGCUCCUGCUGCAUGGUGGGGGUUGGAAAGUUUCGGCGGUUGGGGAUGGACUCGCGGCUUAUCAGCUUGUUGGUGGGGUAGUGGCUUACCAAGGCUUUGACGGGUAGCCGGCCUGAGAGGGUGACCGGCCACAUUGGGACUGAGAUACGGCCCAGACUCCUACGGGAGGCAGCAGUGGGGAAUAUUGCACAAUGGGCGGAAGCCUGAUGCAGCAACGCCGCGUGCGGGAUGACGGCCUUCGGGUUGUAAACCGCUUUCGCCUGUGACGAAGCGUGAGUGACGGUAAUGGGUAAAGAAGCACCGGCUAACUACGUGCCAGCAGCCGCGGUGAUACGUAGGGUGCGAGCGUUGUCCGGAUUUAUUGGGCGUAAAGGGCUCGUAGGUGGUUGAUCGCGUCGGAAGUGUAAUCUUGGGGCUUAACCCUGAGCGUGCUUUCGAUACGGGUUGACUUGAGGAAGGUAGGGGAGAAUGGAAUUCCUGGUGGAGCGGUGGAAUGCGCAGAUAUCAGGAGGAACACCAGUGGCGAAGGCGGUUCUCUGGGCCUUUCCUGACGCUGAGGAGCGAAAGCGUGGGGAGCGAACAGGCUUAGAUACCCUGGUAGUCCACGCUGUAAACGGUGGGUACUAGGUGUGGGGUCCAUUCCACGGGUUCCGUGCCGUAGCUAACGCUUUAAGUACCCCGCCUGGGGAGUACGGCCGCAAGGCUAAAACUCAAAGGAAUCGACGGGGCCCCGCACAAGCGGCGGAGCAUGCGGAUUAAUUCGAUGCAACGCGUAGAACCUUACCUGGGUUUGACAUGGAUCGGGAGUGCUCAGAGAUGGGUGUGCCUCUUUUGGGGUCGGUUCACAGGUGGUGCAUGGCUGUCGUCAGCUCGUGUCGUGAGAUGUUGGGUUAAGUCCCGCAACGAGCGCAACCCUUGUUCACUGUUGCCAGCACGUUAUGGUGGGGACUCAGUGGAGACCGCCGGGGUCAACUCGGAGGAAGGUGGGGAUGACGUCAAGUCAUCAUGCCCCCUAUGUCCAGGGCUUCACGCAUGCUACAAUUGGCUGGUACAGAGAGUGCCGAGCCUGUGAAGGGUGAGCGAAUCUCGAAAACCCGGGUCUCGUUCGGAAUGGGGUCUGGAACUCCACCCUCAUGAAUUCGGAAUUGCUAGUAAAUCCCGAAUUAGCAACGCUUCGGGUGAAUAACUUCCCGGGG